AGAGUUUGAUCCUGGCUCAGGACGAACGCUGGCGGCGCGCCUAACACAUGCAAGUCGAACGAGAUCUUCGGAUCUAGUGGCGGACGGGUGAGUAACGCGUGGGAACCUACCUUAAAGUAUGGGACAACAGUUGGAAACGACUGCUAAUACCGUAUACCUCCUUUGGGAGAAAGAUUUAUCGCUUUUUGAGGGGCCCGCGUUGGAUUAGUUAGUUGGUGGGGUAAUGGCCUACCAAGACUUCGAUCUAUAGCUGGUCUGAGAGGAUGAUCAGCCACACUGGGACUGAGACACGGCCCAGACUCCUACGGGAGGCAGCAGUGGGGAAUCUUGGACAAUGGGGGAAACCCUGAUCCAGCGACGCCGCGUGAAUGAUGAAGGCCUUAGGGUUGUAAAGUUCUUUUCUCAGGGAAGAUGACGACGGUACCUGAGGAAUAAGCACCGGCUAACUCUGUGCCAGCAGCCGCGGUAAUACAGGGG
This 477-nucleotide ribosomal RNA is filed under the name uncultured Alphaproteobacteria bacterium. Its description in RNAcentral is "bacterial SSU rRNA". It matches the Rfam family "Bacterial small subunit ribosomal RNA", at positions 8 to 531 of the family's 1533-position model. Lineage: Bacteria; Pseudomonadati; Pseudomonadota; Alphaproteobacteria. The record is from RNAcentral.